GGCUUGAUUUCAUCGGAAAAUCGACUGGAUUGCAAAUCCGUGAAGACCGGUUCGAUUCCGGUACCCGCCUCCA
Molecule: transfer RNA, 73 nt
Filed under: Frigidibacter albus
Lineage: Bacteria; Pseudomonadati; Pseudomonadota; Alphaproteobacteria; Rhodobacterales; Paracoccaceae
Description: tRNA-Cys
Source: RNAcentral